UACGUAGGGUGCAAGCGUUAAUCGGAAUUACUGGGCGUAAAGCGUGCGCAGGCGGUUCGGAAAGAAAGAUGUGAAAUCCCAGGGCUCAACCUUGGAACUGCAUUUUUAACUACCGGACUAGAGUGUGUCAGAGGGGGGUGGAAUUCCACGUGUAGCAGUGAAAUGCGUAGAUAUGUGGAGGAACACCGAUGGCGAAGGCAGCCCCCUGGGAUAACACUGACGCUCAUGCACGAAAGCGUGGGGAGCAAACAGG
This 253-nucleotide ribosomal RNA is filed under the name uncultured bacterium. RNAcentral describes it as "partial 16S ribosomal RNA". It matches the Rfam family "Bacterial small subunit ribosomal RNA", at positions 524 to 776 of the family's 1533-position model. The record is from RNAcentral.